Molecule: ribosomal RNA, 497 nt
Filed under: uncultured bacterium
Lineage: Bacteria
Description: partial 16S ribosomal RNA
Rfam family: Bacterial small subunit ribosomal RNA
Source: RNAcentral
GAUGAACGCUGGCGGCGGGCCUAAUACAUGCAAGCCGAGCGAAGAGAGGAGGAGCAUGAUACUAAGAAGCUAGCGGCGGACGGGUGAGUAACAAGUGGAUAACCUCCCUAUAAGAGUGGGAUAACUUGGGGAAACGGGAGAUAAUACCGGAUAAUAUAUAGAACCGCAUGGUAGAAAAGUGAAAGACGGGGUUGUUGAGACUUAUAGAGGGAUCGGCGCCGCAUUAGCUAGGUGGUAAGGUAACGGCUUACAAAGGCAACGAUGCGUAGGCGACCUGAGAUGGUGAUCGGCCACACUGCAACUGAAACACGAUCCAGACUCCUACCGGACGCAACAGUAGGGUAUCUUCCACUAUGGACGAAAGCCUGACCUAACCACGCCGCGUCGGUGACAAAGAUCUUCGGAUCGUAAAACUCUGUUAUUAGUGAAGAACAAAUGUGUAAGUAACUCUUCACUUCUUGACGGUACCUAAUCAAUAAGCCACGGCUAACUUCGCG